This 200-nucleotide non-coding RNA is filed under the name Desulfosporosinus acidiphilus. RNAcentral describes it as "T-box sequence". It matches the Rfam family "T-box leader". From Rfam's summary of the family: Uncharged tRNA acts as the effector for transcription antitermination of genes in the T-box leader family. T-boxes are found upstream of many aminoacyl-tRNA synthetase genes and some amino acid biosynthetic genes usually in Gram-positive bacteria. Lineage: Bacteria; Bacillati; Bacillota; Clostridia; Eubacteriales; Desulfitobacteriaceae. The record is from RNAcentral.
UUAAAAGCUGGGAAAGGAAGCAGUACUCAAAAACCUUCUUUAGAGAAGCGGCGGUAGGUGCAAGUCGUUGAAGGGGAUUGCAGGAACUCGUCCUGGAGCUGUGUUCAGGUAACAAUGAACACCGGUGCGAACCGUUAAAGUCUUACGAGUGAAUUUGGAAAAUUGGGUGGUAUCACGGGAGCAGGCCUCUCGUCCCUUGG